RNAcentral lists this ribosomal RNA (254 nucleotides) under uncultured bacterium. Its description in RNAcentral is "partial 16S ribosomal RNA". It matches the Rfam family "Bacterial small subunit ribosomal RNA", at positions 524 to 776 of the family's 1533-position model. The record is from RNAcentral.
UACGGGGGGAGCAAGCGUUGUUCGGAUUUACUGGGCGUAAAGGGCGCGUAGGCGGCCACCGCAAGUCGACUGUGAAAUCUCCGGGCUUAACCUGGGAACUGCAUUCGAGACUGCAUUGCUAGAGUAUGGGAGAGGGAAGUGGAAUUUCCGGUGUAGCGGUGAAAUGCGUAGAUAUCGGAAGGAACAUCAGUGGCGAAAGCGACUUCCUGGACCAAUACUGACGCUCAUGUGCGAAAGCGUGGGGAGCAAACAGG